Molecule: RNA transcript, 472 nt
Organism: Drosophila hydei
Lineage: Eukaryota; Metazoa; Arthropoda; Insecta; Diptera; Drosophilidae
Exons: 4
Source: RefSeq, a predicted model, not a curated record
UAGUUAACUGAUAAAGAUAAUUCUUUUGCGAUCUCAUGUACGCAUACAAAUUGAAGCUGGUGCAGUUCGAUAGAUACUUUGACACAUUUCAAUUGCAAGAGCCACCAAGUUGGGAUCCCUCGGAUCAAUCGCAUCGCAUUUCGUUAACGGCGACGGCGACGCAGACAAAAAUGCCAAAUUUGGCAACGCGUUGCUCACCGCAAACAACGAACCGACACUUAAGACAACCAGCAUUAGCUGUGGACCCGAGAGAGAACCUCAACAUUGCCAUGGAUAAAUAACAUCAGUAAACUGUCCUGUUACACCAUAUCGAGAAGUUAUCCAAUGAGAAAGCCGCUUAAAUUUUGGAGGAUCUAUGAUGAACGACGGAGAAAAAUAAUAACGCUUUGUUUGUGAAACACUUUUUGAGCGCAAACAACGAUUAUUCAAGACAAAAAAGCCCAAAACCAAAAACAAACGCAAAAACUAAAAA